UACGUAGGUGGCAAGCGUUAUCCGGAAUUAUUGGGCGUAAAGAGCGCGCAGGUGGUUAAUUAAGUCUGAUGUGAAAGCCCACGGCUUAACCGUGGAGGGUCAUUGGAAACUGGUUGACUUUAGUGCAGAAGAGGGAAGUGGAAUUCCAUGUGUAGCGGUGAAAUGCGUAGAGAUAUGGAGGAACACCAGUGGCGAAGGCGGCUUCCUGGUCUGCAACUGACACUGAGGCGCGAAAGCGUGGGGAGCAAACAGG
RNAcentral lists this ribosomal RNA (253 nucleotides) under uncultured bacterium. RNAcentral's name for it is "partial 16S ribosomal RNA". It matches the Rfam family "Bacterial small subunit ribosomal RNA", at positions 524 to 776 of the family's 1533-position model. The record is from RNAcentral.